Molecule: RNA transcript, 2487 nt
Organism: Cucurbita pepo subsp. pepo (vegetable marrow)
Lineage: Eukaryota; Viridiplantae; Streptophyta; Magnoliopsida; Cucurbitales; Cucurbitaceae
Gene name: E3 ubiquitin-protein ligase XBAT33
Source: RefSeq, a predicted model, not a curated record
GAAAGGGGCAUCUCACCGCAAAGAGAGAAAAAAAGAGGCGAGGAAAAAAGAAGAAAAAAUGGGCAUGACAAUGUUUUGGUUUCGAUUUUUAUUUUGAUCGUCUGCCCCUCUCUCUCUCUCGCUUUCUCUCUCUUUGAUUCUUCUUUGAGUACGGGAAACAAUUCGGGUUCUGCAAAUUUUGUUGUUGUUGUUGUUCUUCUUCUUCUUCUUGUGAUUGUUGUUUGAGUUUCUGGUUUGAUUUUGGUCCUUUAAUGUGGUGCUGAAAGAAAAGGGUGUGAUUGAAUAGACAUAACAAAUUGCAGAAGGAUCUUCGUCUUGUUUCUUCGUCGAAUUUGCACCCAUUCCGUGGUGUGAAUGGGUAAUUCUUUUGGGUGUUCGGCUUCUGGGGAGAGAUUGGUGUCGGCGGCAAGAGAUGGGGAUUUGGUGGAGGCUAAAAUGCUUUUAGAUUGCAAUCCAUGUCUUGCGAAAUACUCUACUUUUGGUGGCCUUAAUUCCCCUCUCCAUUUUGCGGCUGCUAAGGGCCACAACGAGAUUGUGUCCUUGUUGCUUGAAAAUGGAGCUGAUGUGAAUUCCAGGAAUUACUGUGGGCAGACAGCAGUGAUGCAAGCUUGUAGAUAUGGACACUGGGAAGUUGUGCAAACUCUUCUAAUCUUCAGAUGCAAUGUAAUGAGAGCAGAUUAUCUUAGCGGUCGGUCUGCUCUCCAUUUUGCUGCUGUAAAUGGGCAUGUGAGAUGUCUAAGACUUAUCGUGGCUGACUUUGUUCCGAGCGUUCCCUAUGAGGCUAUCGAUAGCCAGACAGAUCCUAGCAAAAGUGAUGGUGCGAAUGUGAAAAACAGAUGUGAACAAGGUGCUUUGUCCAAGUUUAUAAAUAAGGCCGCUGAUGGUGGCAUUACUGCUCUUCACAUGGCAGCACUAAAUGGAUAUUAUGAUUGUGUUCAUCUUCUUCUCGAUCUUCAUGCUAAUGUUUCUGCAGUAACAUUUCACUACGGGACCUCGAUGGAUUUGAUAGGAGCUGGAAGCACUCCAUUGCAUUAUGCAGCUUGUGGGGGUAACUUGAAGUGCUGUCAGAUUCUCCUUGCAAGAGGUGCUUCUCGGACGACUUUGAAUUGCAACGGGUGGCUUCCUUUAGAUGUUGCCAGAAUGUGGGGACGCCACUGGCUCGAACCUGUGGUAGCUCCCAAUUCGGUCUCUAUAAUACCGGGAUUUCCCACUUCCAACUACCUGUCCUUGCCUCUACUGAGUGCAUUAAACAUUGCCAGGGAUUGCGGUUUUAAGUCUAUGGGAGCGACCUCCGACGACGGGGAUACUUGUGCUGUCUGUUUAGAGAGAGUAUGUUCUGUGGCAGCAGAAGGAUGUGGACAUGAGCUUUGUGUAAGAUGUGCACUCUAUCUUUGUUCGACUAGCAAUAUCCAAUCACAAACGAUCGGUUCAUCAGGCUCGAUUCCAUGCCCCCUUUGCAGACAUACAAUUAUAUCUUUCGUAAAGUUGUCUCGUGCCACAGCAAAGGAAAAACAGCUUCAUCUGUCUCUUAGCAUAUGCAAUCCAUGCAUUCUUCACACCUGUGAUGCUGAAGAUCAGGCUUCUACUUGUACGCCAGAGAUCCGAAAGAAUCGUGUAGCAUCGGUUUCUUCAGAUGUAUUUUGCCCAGUAACUUGUAGCCCAUUCCCUUCUGCGGCCAUUCCUCUGUGUACAUGCAAUGACGGUCCAUGCCCAACCUUCGAGCCCCGAGACGUUGGAACAGAAGCUGAAUCGCCCCGUCACUUGCAAACAACCCCAAUAGACCAGGACAAAUUGGGAGAUCCAAGACAAGAAAGAACUAGCUGUUCAAGCAUAUUUUGGGGCAGAAGAAGCGGUAGCAGGGAGAAUCAAUGCAAUUCAGAGAUAAACGCUUGAGACAUGAGACAUGCCCCGGUUGGUUUCGAGUCAGUCAUCUCGACAACGAGACUUGAGAGAAUUUAUAGUAACAGCAAUACAUUCUGAAAGUUGCAGUGGAUAUGUUGUGGAUACAAUGUUUGGCUUGACAGGUUCGAUUUUCUCUUCGUUGUGUUUGCAUUCCCAAUUUUCGUGAUGGCUUUAGGAGGCCUGGUUGGUGUGAAUAAUUUGUUUUGGCGCAGCAGCAGUUUUGAGCAUGUUAUGGUUUCAAGUCAUUGUUGCUCUGCCUGUACAAAUAGGUAGAGAGGGAUUAAAAGGUUGUAAAAUUUGGCCUGCUGGUUGGGAUUUUUUACAACACAGUACUCUUCCAACACAGUACUCUUGUGAAUCCAAUCAGACAUCAUCAUCAUCAUCAUCCUCCACCUGUUCCAAAGUGUUAGAUGUCAUCUCUGUAGGGGCCCCCCAUCCCCCUCGCAUGAUCCUUGUCAAAUACUAGUCAAAUUGUCAAUCAUGAGGAGGGCUUGUUUUGCAUUUGGAUGACCUUACAUGUUCAAACAAAAUAUUAGUAUUGCUCAUGAUCAAUAAUUUUAAUUUGACUUUGGGAUCUUAUCCUAA